RNAcentral lists this ribosomal RNA (617 nucleotides) under uncultured Methanoregula sp. RNAcentral's name for it is "bacterial SSU rRNA". It matches the Rfam family "Archaeal small subunit ribosomal RNA", at positions 83 to 708 of the family's 1478-position model. The record is from RNAcentral. Lineage: Archaea; Methanobacteriati; Methanobacteriota; Methanomicrobia; Methanomicrobiales; Methanoregulaceae.
CGGCUCAGUAACACGUGGACAACCUACCCUAUGGAGGGGGAUAACCCCGGGAAACUGGGGAUAAUACCCCAUAGACUAUAGAUGCUGGAAUGCUUUGUAGUUGAAAGGUCCGCCGCCAUAGGAUGGGUCUGCGGCCGAUUAGGUUGUUGUUGGGGUAACGGCCCAACAAGCCUGUAAUCGGUACGGGUUGUGGGAGCAAGAGCCCGGAGAUGGAUUCUGAGACACGAAUCCAGGCCCUACGGGGCGCAGCAGGCGCGAAAACUUUACAAUGCGGGAAACCGUGAUAAGGGAACUCCGAGUGCCCGUAAAAUCGGGCUGUCCAUCUGUUUAAAUAACAGGUGAAGAAAGGGCCGGGCAAGACCGGUGCCAGCCGCCGCGGUAAUACCGGCGGCUCGAGUGGUGGCCACUAUUACUGGGCUUAAAGCGUUCGUAGCUGGUCUGUUAAGUCUCUGGGGAAAUCUACUGGCUUAACCAAUAGGCGUCUCAGGGAUACUGGCAGACUAGGGACCGGGAGAGGUGAGAGGUACUCCAGGGGUAGGAGUGAAAUCCUGUAAUCCUUGGGGGACCACCUGUGGCGAAGGCGUCUCACCAGAACGGCUCCGACAGUGAGGGACGAA